UAUAGAAUAUAUUUGGUGAAAUCUAAUGCUAUACUGUUGCCUUUAUGGAUACCUGGGAAUAGGGAUUGGCUUGCUGUCUCUUUGUUUGUUUCCUUCUUUGAAUUGGUUCCCUUCUUCCUAGCAUGUCUAUGGCCCCUGCCCACACUAGCCAGGUGUUAAUUACUUACAGGAUUAAACCCCACUUUAACAAUGCCAGACCCUAAACCUAAAUCAUCCUAGCUCCCUUCAUUCCCUUUUUUUUCAAAUCCCAAUUCUGUUUUUGUGUCUCCAUGACAGUCUAAAAUGGGGCUCAAUAAAUCUGCCCUAACAUCCAAAUUGGGUCUAAAGUAGUGUUGAUCCAUUCAUGGGGUAAAUAGAUGUUAAAAAGAUAUAAUAAUAAGUUUUCUUUUUUAUGAUCAACUUAUACCCCGGGUAGUUUGUUUGUCGCCUACCUUAAAUGUUAUGACUGGAGGCGCCGUGAAGUCUAGAUUUGGAUCCCUUGUGCGUACAUGAAAACUAGGAUCUGACUAUUGGGCUGAUUGCGCGACUCGCAAUUUACCUCGGCAGUUGGCUCUAAAGGCGGGGUCCUGUGGCCUGUGGGUU
This is a long non-coding RNA of Ipomoea nil (Japanese morning glory), 582 nucleotides long. RefSeq lists it as uncharacterized. The transcript is spliced from 3 exons. Lineage: Eukaryota; Viridiplantae; Streptophyta; Magnoliopsida; Solanales; Convolvulaceae. The record is from RefSeq and is a predicted model, not a curated record.